UUUUUUAUUUCCAGUUACAGUCGGUGUUUAUUUUGGCCUAGAAUCAGGAAUGCAUGAUUUAAACCAUUAUGAGUAAUUCAACAGAAGAAUUUAGUUUAGAGGAAAGAACUUCCUUACUAGGACUUGCUAUUUUUGGUAUUCUAUCGGUUAUUAUUAUUGUUGUCAUAGCAACCUGCAAGUUUGGAUGCCAAGAACAGCCUUACAAGAGACGUAUCUCACCAGUAGCCCAGGUGUCAAAGGGUGAUCUUUUCCAAGUUAGCAUGUAUAUGUCAAAAUUACAUUUCAAUCUAUUAGACUUUCAGGAGAAAGCUAACCCUAGUGUGGUAGAAACAACACAUAACAAGGAAAAGGAAAAUGAUAAUCGGAAAACAGUGAAAUUGAAAAAACAUUCAGACAACAUGCUGACUGGAUGAAUGUAACUAUUCAGCUGUUGUGACAAUUUGUUAGUGUCAACUAUCUGCCGUAAUCAAGCUGAAACAAACUGCUCAAAAUUGCAAACGUGACAUUUGAAUAAGAACAUUGGAAAACAUUCUGAACUUUGCAUUUUGCGUGUAUCUAAAACAGUGUAAAUAUGUUAAUUCUAUACUAGGGAAAGGAUAUUAAAUACAGUGUUUUAGUCAGCUUAGUUUUGCAUACUUUCAUCUUAUAUUUUUCGCAAUAAACACCGGAAGUUUUUCCAAAGGCCUGUGGAUGUUGUCGUUGAAAUGGUAUCCUUUUGAUUUUAUCUAUAAAUGCAUGAAAGUGAAGUUUUUACAAUUUACAAUUAACAAACGAACAGACAAGCGAGAGAGAGAGAGAGAGAGAGAGAGAGAGAGAGAGAGAGAGAGAGAGAGAUGCAAUCUCCUUUAACACUGCAUUACCCUGUCGUAAACAAAACAAUGUAAUAUAGUUUAAUAAAUAAUAAAACCUUUAACUGACA
Molecule: long non-coding RNA, 919 nt
Organism: Mytilus californianus (California mussel)
Lineage: Eukaryota; Metazoa; Mollusca; Bivalvia; Mytilida; Mytilidae
Exons: 2
Source: RefSeq, a predicted model, not a curated record